RNAcentral lists this ribosomal RNA (207 nucleotides) under uncultured bacterium. RNAcentral describes it as "partial 16S ribosomal RNA". It matches the Rfam family "Bacterial small subunit ribosomal RNA", at positions 568 to 774 of the family's 1533-position model. The record is from RNAcentral.
CUCGUAGGCGGUUUGUCGCGUCGGGAGUGAAAACCUACAGCUUAACUGUGGGCUUGCUCUCGAUACGGGCAGACUAGAGGUAUGCAGGGGAGAACGGAAUUCCUGGUGUAGCGGUGAAAUGCGCAGAUAUCAGGAGGAACACCGGUGGCGAAGGCGGUUCUCUGGGCAUGAUCUGACGCUGAGGAGCGAAAGUGUGGGGAGCGAACA